AUUCAGGUUUGUCAACUCCUGAUCUCAUCAGAGCUCAGAAGCUAAGCAAGGCCGGGCCUGGUUAGUACUUGGAUGGGAGACCGAUGAGAAUACCAGGGG
This 99-nucleotide ribosomal RNA is filed under the name Periophthalmus magnuspinnatus. Lineage: Eukaryota; Metazoa; Chordata; Actinopteri; Gobiiformes; Gobiidae. The record is from RNAcentral.